Molecule: ribosomal RNA, 468 nt
Filed under: uncultured bacterium
Lineage: Bacteria
Description: partial 16S ribosomal RNA
Rfam family: Bacterial small subunit ribosomal RNA
Source: RNAcentral
GACGAACGCUGGCGGCGUGCUUAACACAUGCAAGUCGAACGGAAAGGCCCUGCUUUUGUGGGGUGCUCGAGUGGCGAACGGGUGAGUAACACGUGAGUAACCUGCCCUUGACUUUGGGAUAACUUCAGGAAACUGGGGCUAAUACCGGAUAGGAGCUCCUGCUGCAUGGUGGGGGUUGGAAAGUUUCGGCGGUUGGGGAUGGACUCGCGGCUUAUCAGCUUGUUGGUGGGGUAGUGGCUUACCAAGGCUUUGACGGGUAGCCGGCCUGAGAGGGUGACCGGCCACAUUGGGACUGUGAUACGGCCGAGACUGCUACGGGAGGCAGCAGUGGGGAAGAUGGCACAAUGGGCGGAAGCCUGAUGCAGCAACGCCGCGUGCGGGAUGACGGCCUUCGGGUUGUAAACCGCUUUCGCCUGUGACGAAGCGUGAGUGACGGUAAUGGGUAAAGAAGCACCGGCUAACUACGUG